RNAcentral lists this long non-coding RNA (361 nucleotides) under Heterocephalus glaber (naked mole-rat). RNAcentral describes it as "lncRNA (ENSHGLG00000032675.1)". Lineage: Eukaryota; Metazoa; Chordata; Mammalia; Rodentia; Bathyergidae. The record is from RNAcentral.
AGAAUGUACAACACCAAGAGUGAACUCUGAUGCAAUCUAUAGACUGUGAUGAAGAUGAUGUGUGAAAAUAAGUGCGUGAAUUGUAACUAAUGAACUACUCAGCAGAGGGACACUGACAAAGGGAGAGUCUGAGCAUGAGUGGUGCGAAUUUUUAGGAUAAAGAGUGAAGAUUGCAGACUACAUUGAGAAAAUAAGAAAUCAUAUGUGGACAAGAACACUGAGAAGUAUUUAAGCAAUAAAUGGGAAAGGCACAAAACUGCAUGGUACUAGCAAAGAAACAUAAAGGAUGAUCAGUGGAACUGAUUAGAAGAUGCAAAAAAAAAAAGAAGAUGCGAGAACAACUCCAAACAUACUCAACCAC